This is a long non-coding RNA of Scleropages formosus (Asian bonytongue), 1113 nucleotides long. NCBI's taxonomy places the organism in Eukaryota, Metazoa, Chordata, Actinopteri, Osteoglossiformes, Osteoglossidae. The record is from Ensembl.
AUGGCUGCGCCAACAGGUUAUGGGCCCAGAAGAGAAGUAGGUAAUAGACUGAGUAGACUGUGUUUCGACGGAGAUGAAAAGAAUUACGAACUUUGGGAGACAAAGUUUUUGGGGCACCUGCGUCUGCUGGGACUGAAAGAGACCAUAUUGAAAGUCCCCACACCGAGCGAUAGAGACAGCGCGGACGAAGAUGAGACUGACGACACUGAUAAAAAUGAAGAAGCCUACGCGGAAUUGAUCCAGUUUUUGGAUGAUAAAAGUCUUUCCCUUAUAAUGAGAGAAGCCGCAGAUGACGGAAGAAAGGCGCUGCAAAUACUGAGGGGCUACUAUGCAGGAAAAGGGAAGCCGCGAAUUAUUAACCUGUACACAGAAUUAACAUCCCUUCAGAAAACUGCAAAGGAAAGUAUUACGGAUUACAUUAUUCGGGCAGAAACAGCCAUUACCGCUCUGAGGAAUGCUGAGGAGACGCUCAGUGACGGACUGUUGAUUGCAAUGAUUCUUAAAGGUUUGCCAGAAUCGUUUAAACCAUUCGCAGUUCAUGUAACACAGAGUGAUGAAACUAUGACUUUUGCAGAAUUUAAGACAAAGCUCAGAAGUUUUGAAAACACUGAAAAGUAUGCUAGGUCAAAUGACGACAACGUUAUGAAAGCGAGUGGUGCAGCUCCUGUGAGAAGAGGAGAGAGAGAGAAAAACGCAGACCCUUAUAAUAUCACAUGUUAUAAUUGCGGUCAAAAAGGACAUAAAGCCUGGAGAUGUCCAAAUGAACGUCGUAAAAGUCAAAAACAGUGGUGUAGCUAUUGCAAAAGCUCAACACACAAAGACGCAUCUUGCAGACGCAAAAGAAGAGACGACGCAAAACAAGCGACGCAUGAAGAGGACGCAGAUAAACAUGCUGCAUUUGUCUUCAAAACGUGUGAUUAUCAGCUAGACGGGCUGAAACAUAAAGGACUAAUGGUUGACACGGGAGCAACAUCACACAUAAUUACCGACAUCGGAAAGUUUAAGAAAUUUGACGAGACUUUCCAAACGGGCAAACAUUUCAUUGAGCUUGCGGACGGGACAAGAGCGAGUGGCGUUGCGCUGAAGAGAGGUGACGCGCGGAGAUAUGUUUGA